This 137-nucleotide ribosomal RNA is filed under the name uncultured soil bacterium. Its description in RNAcentral is "partial 16S ribosomal RNA". It matches the Rfam family "Bacterial small subunit ribosomal RNA", at positions 374 to 524 of the family's 1533-position model. The record is from RNAcentral.
GGCGAAGCCUGAUGCAGCGACGCCGCGUGAGGGAUGACGGCCUUCGGGUUGUAAACCUCUUUCAGCAGGGAAGAAGCGAAAGUGACGGUACCUGCAGAAGAAGCGCCGGCUAACUACGUGCCAGCAGCCGCGGUAAU